This 492-nucleotide ribosomal RNA is filed under the name uncultured bacterium. RNAcentral's name for it is "partial 16S ribosomal RNA". It matches the Rfam family "Bacterial small subunit ribosomal RNA", at positions 29 to 507 of the family's 1533-position model. The record is from RNAcentral.
AGUGAACGCUGGCGGUAGGCCUAACACAUGCAAGUCGAACGGCAGCACAGUAAGAGCUUGCUCUUACGGGUGGCGAGUGGCGGACGGGUGAGGAAUACAUCGGAAUCUACUUUUUCGUGGGGGAUAACGUAGGGAAACUUACGCUAAUACCGCAUACGACCUACGGGUGAAAGCAGGGGAUCUUCGGACCUUGCGCGAUUGAAUGAGCCGAUGUCGGAUUAGCUAGUUGGCGGGGUAAAGGCCCACCAAGGCGACGAUCCGUAGCUGGUCUGAGAGGAUGAUCAGCCACACUGGAACUGAGACUCGGUCCAGACUCCUACGGGAGGCAGCAGUGGGGAAUAUUGGACAAUGGGCGCAAGCCUGAUCCAGCCAUACCGCGUGGGUGAAGAAGGCCUUCGGGUUGUAAAGCCCUUUUGUUGGGAAAGAAAAGCAGCAGGCUAAUACCCCGCUGUUCUGACGGUACCCAAAGAAUAAGCACCGGCUAACUUCGUG